UGACGAGGCACUACGGUGCUGAAGCGACAAAUGCCCUGCUUCCAGGAAAAGCCUCUAAGCAUCAGGUAACAUCAAAUCGUACCCCAAACCGACACAGGUGGUCAGGUAGAGAAUACCAAGGCGCUUGAGAGAACUCGGGUGAAGGAACUAGGCAAAAUGGUGCCGUAACUUCGGGAGAAGGCACGCUGAUAUGUAGGUGAAGCGACUUGCUCGUGGAGCUGAAAUCAGUCGAAGAUACCAGCUGGCUGCAACUGUUUAUUAAAAACACAGCACUGUGCAAACACGAAAGUGGACGUAUACGGUGUGACGCCUGCCCGGUGCCGGAAGGUUAAUUGAUGGGGUUAGCGGUAACGCGAAGCUCUUGAUCGAAGCCCCGGUAAACGGCGGCCGUAACUAUAACGGUCCUAAGGUAGCGAAAUUCCUUGUCGGGUAAGUUCCGACCUGCACGAAUGGCGUAAUGAUGGCCAGGCUGUCUCCACCCGAGACUCAGUGAAAUUGAACUCGCUGUGAAGAUGCAGUGUACCCGCGGCAAGACGGAAAGACCCCGUGAACCUUUACUAUAGCUUGACACUGAACAUUGAGCCUUGAUGUGUAGGAUAGGUGGGAGGCUUUGAAGUGUGGACGCCAGUCUGCAUGGAGCCGACCUUGAAAUACCACCCUUUAAUGUUUGAUGUUCUAACGUGGGCCCCUUACCGGGGUUGCGGACAGUGUCUGGUGGGUAGUUUGACUGGGGCGGUCUCCUCCUAAAGAGUAACGGAGGAGCACGAAGGUUGGCUAAUCCUGGUCGGACAUCAGGAGGUUAGUGCAAUGGCAUAAGCCAGCUUGACUGCGAGCGUGACGGCGCGAGCAGGUGCGAAAGCAGGUCAUAGUGAUCCGGUGGUUCUGAAUGGAAGGGCCAUCGCUCAACGGAUAAAAGGUACUCCGGGGAUAACAGGCUGAUACCGCCCAAGAGUUCAUAUCGACGGCGGUGUUUGGCACCUCGAUGUCGGCUCAUCACAUCCUGGGGCUGAAGUAGGUCCCAAGGGUAUGGCUGUUCGCCAUUUAAAGUGGUACGCGAGCUGGGUUUAGAACGUCGUGAGACAGUUCGGUCCCUAUCUGCCGUGGGCGCUGGAGAACUGAGGGGGGCUGCUCCUAGUACGAGAGGACCGGAGUGGACGCAUCACUGGUGUUCGGGUUGUCAUGCCAAUGGCACUGCCCGGUAGCUAAAUGCGGAAGAGAUAAGUGCUGAAAGCAUCUAAGCACGAAACUUGCCCCGAGAUGAGUUCUCCCUGACUCCUUGAGAGUCCUGAAGGAACGUUGAAGACGACGACGUUGAUAGGCCGGGUGUGUAAGCGCAGCGAUGCGUUGAGCUAACCGGUACUAAUGAACCGUGAGGCUUAACCUU
Molecule: ribosomal RNA, 1384 nt
Filed under: Escherichia coli
Lineage: Bacteria; Pseudomonadati; Pseudomonadota; Gammaproteobacteria; Enterobacterales; Enterobacteriaceae
Description: partial 23S ribosomal RNA
Rfam family: Bacterial large subunit ribosomal RNA
Source: RNAcentral